UAAUACGAAGGGACCUAGCGUAGUUCGGAAUUACUGGGCUUAAAGAGUUCGUAGGUGGUUAAAAAAGUUGGUGGUGAAAUCCCAGAGCUUAACUCUGGAACUGCCAUCAAAACUUUUUAGCUAGAGUAUGAUAGAGGAAAGCAGAAUUUCUAGUGUAGAGGUGAAAUUCGUAGAUAUUAGAAAGAAUACCAAUUGCGAAGGCAGCUUUCUGGAUCAUUACUGACACUGAGGAACGAAAGCAUGGGUAGCGAAGAGGAUUAGAUACCCUCGUAGUCCAUGCCGUAAACGAUGUGUGUUAGACGUUGGAAAUUUAUUUUCAGUGUCGCAGUGAAAACUAUAAACACACCGCCUGGGGAGUACGACCGCAAGGUUA
This 373-nucleotide ribosomal RNA is filed under the name uncultured Alphaproteobacteria bacterium. RNAcentral's name for it is "bacterial SSU rRNA". It matches the Rfam family "Bacterial small subunit ribosomal RNA", at positions 521 to 896 of the family's 1533-position model. The record is from RNAcentral. Lineage: Bacteria; Pseudomonadati; Pseudomonadota; Alphaproteobacteria.